AGUGAACGCUGGCGGUAGGCCUAACACAUGCAAGUCGAACGGCAGCACAGUAAGAGCUUGCUCUUACGGGUGGCGAGUGGCGGACGGGUGAGGAAUACAUCGGAAUCUACUUUUUCGUGGGGGAUAACGUAGGGAAACUUACGCUAAUACCGCAUACGACCUACGGGUGAAAGCAGGGGAUCUUCGUACCUUGCGCGAUUGAAUGAGCCGAUGUCGGAUUAGCUAGUUGGCGGGGUAAAGGCCCACCAAGGGGACGAUCCGUAGCUGGUCUGAGAGGAUGAUCAGCCACACUGGAACUGAGACACGGUCCAGACUACUACGGGAGGCAGCAGUGGGGAAUAUUGGACAAUGGGCGCAAGCCUGAUCCAGCCAUACCGCGUGGGUGAAGAAGGCCUUCGGGUUGUAAAGCCCUUUUGUUGGGAAAGAAAAGCAGCAGGUUAAUACCCCGCUGUUCUGACGGUACCCAAAGAAUAAGCACCGGCUAACUUCGUG
RNAcentral lists this ribosomal RNA (492 nucleotides) under uncultured bacterium. RNAcentral's name for it is "partial 16S ribosomal RNA". It matches the Rfam family "Bacterial small subunit ribosomal RNA", at positions 29 to 507 of the family's 1533-position model. The record is from RNAcentral.